GUGGGGAAUAUUGGACAAUGGGCGAAAGCCUGAUCCAGCCAUGCCGCGUGUGUGAAGAAGGUCUUCGGAUUGUAAAGCACUUUAAGUUGGGAGGAAGGGCAGUAAGCUAAUACCUUGCUGUUUUGACGUUACCGACAGAAUAAGCACCGGCUAACUCUGUGCCAGCAGCCGCGGUAAUACAGAGGGUGCAAGCGUUAAUCGGAAUUACUGGGCGUAAAGCGCGCGUAGGUGGUUCGUUAAGUUGGAUGUGAAAGCCCCGGGCUCAACCUGGGAACUGCAUCCAAAACUGGCGAGCUAGAGUACGGUAGAGGGUGGUGGAAUUUCCUGUGUAGCGGUGAAAUGCGUAGAUAUAGGAAGGAACACCAGUGGCGAAGGCGACCACCUGGACUGAUACUGACACUGAGGUGCGAAAGCGUGGGGAGCAA
This 425-nucleotide ribosomal RNA is filed under the name uncultured Pseudomonas sp. Its description in RNAcentral is "bacterial SSU rRNA". It matches the Rfam family "Bacterial small subunit ribosomal RNA", at positions 354 to 771 of the family's 1533-position model. Lineage: Bacteria; Pseudomonadati; Pseudomonadota; Gammaproteobacteria; Pseudomonadales; Pseudomonadaceae. The record is from RNAcentral.